UUAAAAUCCAGUUUAUCCUGCUGGAGGCUGCGGCUAUCUGGUUUGUACUUAGGCAUGCAAGUUUUUUCAGUACUCUGUAUUGAAGGAGCGAACUGCUCAGUAACACGUAGCUAACCUACCCUAAGAACAGGAAUAACCUCGGGAAACUGAGGCUAAUACCUGAUAGUAGAAACCUACUGCAAUGUGGAUUCUACAAAAUCUUCGGAGUCUUAGGAUGGGGCUGCGGCGGAUUAGGUUGUUGGCGGGGUAAAAGCCCACCAAGCCAAAGAUCUGUAAGGGCCUUUAGCGAGGGAGCCCUGAGAGGGAAUCUGAGACACUAUUCCCAGCCCUACGGGGUGCAGCAGCUGAGGAUUUUCUGCAAUGCGCGCAAGCGUGACAGAGCUAGCCAGAGUGCUUUCCUAAUAAUUGGAAAGCUUUUGCCAGUUGUAAAAAGACUGGCGAAUAAGGACUGGGCAAGACCGGUGCCAGCCGCCGCGGUAAUCCCGGCGGUCCGAGUCGCAGCCACUAUUACUGGGUCUAAAACAUUCGUAGCUUGCAUGGUCAGUCUCUUGUGAAAUCUCAUAUCUCAAAUAUGAAACGCGCAGGAGAUACUACCAUGCUAGAGACCGGGGGACGUAAGGAGUACGGCUGAGGUAGUGGUUAAAUACGUUAAUCUUAGCCGGACUAACGACAGCGAAGGCACCUUACGAUAACGGUUCUGACAGUCAGGGAUGAAGGCUAGGGGCGCAAAACGGAUUAGAUACCCGUGUAGUCCUAGCAGUAAACACUGCACACUAAACAUUGGUACCUCUUCGAGAGGUGUCGGUGCUGUAGGGAAGCCGUAGAGUGUGCUACCUGGGAAGUAUAGUCGCAAGGCCGAAACUUAAAGGAAUUGGCGGGGAGACACCACAACGGGUGACGCGUGCGGUUCAAUUAGAUUCUACACCGUGAACCUCACCAGGAACGACAGCAGAAUGAAGG
RNAcentral lists this ribosomal RNA (960 nucleotides) under Candidatus Pacearchaeota archaeon CG10_big_fil_rev_8_21_14_0_10_35_13. Its description in RNAcentral is "bacterial SSU rRNA". It matches the Rfam family "Archaeal small subunit ribosomal RNA", at positions 1 to 953 of the family's 1478-position model. Lineage: Archaea; Nanobdellati. The record is from RNAcentral.